RNAcentral lists this ribosomal RNA (253 nucleotides) under uncultured bacterium. RNAcentral describes it as "partial 16S ribosomal RNA". It matches the Rfam family "Bacterial small subunit ribosomal RNA", at positions 524 to 776 of the family's 1533-position model. The record is from RNAcentral.
UACGAGGGGGGCAAGUGUUGUUCGGAAUCACUGGGCGUAAAGGGCGCGUAGGUGGCUAGGUAAGCGUGUGGUGAAAGUCCGGGGCUCAACCCCGGAUCUGCCGUGCGAACUGCCAGGCUUGAGCAAUGUAGAGGCAGGUGGAAUUUCGGGUGUAGCGGUGGAAUGCGUAGAUAUCCGAAAGAACACCAGUGGCGAAGGCGGCCUGCUGGGCAUUUGCUGACACUGAGGCGCGACAGCGUGGGGAGCAAACAGG